UAGGGAAUCUUCCGCAAUGGACGCAAGUCUGACGGAGCAACGCCGCGUGAGUGAAGAAGGAUUUCGGUUCGUAAAACUCUGUUGUUAGAGAAGAACAGCGCAUAGAGUAACUGUUAUGCGUGUGACGGUAUCUAACCAGAAAGGGACGGCUAACUACGUGCCAGCAGCCGCGGUAAUACGUAGGUCCCGAGCGUUGUCCGGAUUUAUUGGGCGUAAAGCGAGCGCAGGCGGUUAGAUAAGUCUGAAGUUAAAGGCAGUGGCUCAACCAUUGUAGGCUUUGGAAACUGUUUAACUUGAGUGCAGAAGGGGAGAGUGGAAUUCCAUGUGUAGCGGUGAAAUGCGUAGAUAUAUGGCGGAACACCGGUGGCGAAAGCGGCUCUCUGGUCUGUAACUGACGCUGAGGCUCGAAAGCGUGGGGAGCGAACAGG
RNAcentral lists this ribosomal RNA (428 nucleotides) under Bacteroidota bacterium. RNAcentral's name for it is "Bacteroidetes bacterium partial 16S ribosomal RNA". It matches the Rfam family "Bacterial small subunit ribosomal RNA", at positions 355 to 776 of the family's 1533-position model. The record is from RNAcentral. Lineage: Bacteria; Pseudomonadati; Bacteroidota.